GCUUGCUUUCACCCCAACUUUAUCAGCAUCCUUUUCCUUCUCUUCCAUUUGCUUCUCCUCCCUUUCCCUCUCAGUUCUGGCAAGCAAUUCAAGAAAUGGAGGACCCAUUUCAUCCAAAGCCUCCUUUAAAUAAUCCAUAACCAGUCUUAACGCUUCAUUUCGCGUAGCCCUCUCCAACAACCUCCCACACGCAUUCGAAUCCCACAAAGCCGCCUCCAUCUCCUCCUUAAACUCCCUCAACUCAUCAGUAACCAGCUCGCUUUUCUUCAAAAACUCCAACUUGUCAACUCUUUCACUCCAAAUCGUCUUCACUGCCUCGAAAAACAUCUCAGGGUCACGCUUGCGUUUGCUUCCCACAACACCCAAGUGCUUCACCGUGCAGUCCACAGCAACCGCGCAGUACGCGAGCUUCAUGGAGUCUGGGAUCUUGAAUCCCUUCUUCUGAUCCAAUUGUUCAAUGAUUUCGAGGGAUUCAAGAAUGAUUUCAGAGGAAACGGAGCCGUCGGCAAUUUCGUCCUGGAUUGCGCGGAGAGCGAGUGUCUUCUUCAAGCGUGGAGUUGCCAAAAUGGGGAUAUGGGUAUUUGUGAGAAUCCUGUUGAGAACAAGUUUAGAGACUGAGUCUUGCCGAGCUAGGAACUCGAUGAUCCAUAGAACGAUGUCUGGGUCCAUUUCUUCAGAGUCCAUUGUCCGGGUAGAGCUGCCUCUGAAAGAACAGUUUUUUGCGAUUUAUAGGUUUUUCCUUGUUUGGGGGAAAACGAAAGGGAAUGAAGGAAAGCGAAUUCCUUCUGCUAAACAUUUGAAAAUCAUUGGCUGAUUUUAUGGAAAGUUUUCGCCCAAUAUGCAUACGCCAAAUCCAUCAGAAUUAGGGUUAAUUCUACGUCAAUC
This 885-nucleotide unclassified non-coding RNA is filed under the name Hevea brasiliensis (rubber tree). Lineage: Eukaryota; Viridiplantae; Streptophyta; Magnoliopsida; Malpighiales; Euphorbiaceae. The record is from RNAcentral.